UACGUAGGUGGCGAGCGUUGUCCGGAUUUACUGGGCGUAAAGGGAGCGUAGGCGGACUUUUAAGUGAGAUGUGAAAUACUCGGGCUCAACUUGAGUGCUGCAUUUCAAACUGGAAGUCUAGAGUGCGGGAGAGGAGAAUGGAAUUCCUAGUGUAGCGGUGAAAUGCGUAGAGAUUAGGAAGAACACCAGUGGCGAAGGCGAUUCUCUGGACUGUAACUGACGCUGAGGCUCGAAAGCGUGGGGAGCAAACAGG
This 253-nucleotide ribosomal RNA is filed under the name uncultured bacterium. RNAcentral's name for it is "partial 16S ribosomal RNA". It matches the Rfam family "Bacterial small subunit ribosomal RNA", at positions 524 to 776 of the family's 1533-position model. The record is from RNAcentral.